GAUAAGCCUGGGAAACUGGGUCUAAUACCGAAUAUGACCACGCUCUUCAUGGGGUGUGGUGGAAAGCUUUUGCGGUGUGGGAUGGGCCCGCGGCCUAUCAGCUUGUUGGUGGGGUAAUGGCCUACCAAGGCGACGACGGGUAGCCGGCCUGAGAGGGUGACCGGCCACACUGGGACUGAGAUACGGCCCAGACUCCUACGGGAGGCAGCAGUGGGGAAUAUUGCACAAUGGGCGCAAGCCUGAUGCAGCGACGCCGCGUGAGGGAUGACGGCCUUCGGGUUGUAAACCUCUUUCACCAGGGACGAAGCGCAAGUGACGGUACCUGGAGAAGAAGCACCGGCCAACUACGUGCCAGCAGCCGCGGUAAUACGUAGGGUGCGAGCGUUGUCCGGAAUUACUGGGCGUAAAGAGCUCGUAGGUGGUUUGUCGCGUUGUUCGUGAAAACUCACAGCUUAACUGUGGGCGUGCGGGCGAUACGGGCAGACUAGAGUACUGCAGGGGAGACUGGAAUUCCUGGUGUAGCGGUGGAAUGCGCAGAUAUCAGGAGGAACACCGGUGGCGAAGGCGGGUCUGCUGGGCAGUAACUGACGCUUA
Molecule: ribosomal RNA, 594 nt
Filed under: Mycolicibacterium mucogenicum
Lineage: Bacteria; Bacillati; Actinomycetota; Actinomycetes; Mycobacteriales; Mycobacteriaceae
Description: bacterial SSU rRNA
Rfam family: Bacterial small subunit ribosomal RNA
Source: RNAcentral